Molecule: ribosomal RNA, 478 nt
Filed under: uncultured bacterium
Lineage: Bacteria
Description: bacterial SSU rRNA
Rfam family: Bacterial small subunit ribosomal RNA
Source: RNAcentral
AUUGAACGCUGGCGGCAUGCCUUACACAUGCAAGUCGAACGGCAGCACGGGAGCUUGCUCCUGGUGGCGAGUGGCGAACGGGUGAGUAAUACAUCGGAACGUACCCUGAAGUGGGGGAUAACGUAGCGAAAGUUACGCUAAUACCGCAUAUUCUGUGAGCAGGAAAGAGGGGGAUCGCAAGACCUCUUGCUUUAGGAGCGGCCGAUGUCGGAUUAGCUAGUUGGUGAGGUAAAGGCUCACCAAGGCGACGAUCCGUAGCGGGUCUGAGAGGAUGAUCCGCCACACUGGGACUGAGACACGGCCCAGACUCCUACGGGAGGCAGCAGUGGGGAAUUUUGGACAAUGGGCGCAAGCCUGAUCUAGCCAUGCCGCGUGAGCGAUGAAGGCCUUAGGGUUGUAAAGCUCUUUCAGUGGGGAAGAUAAUGACUGUACCCACAGAAGAAGCCCCGGCUAACUCCGUGCCAGCAGCCGCGGUAAU